UUGGAUGGAACGCAGGACGCGCUCAGUCAGGUCAAGGAUGAUGACCAGGCCAGGAUGGCAGCUUGAUACGGACAUUGAGCACGGUCAGCAAAAACCCGCUUCGGCGGGUUUUU
This 113-nucleotide small RNA is filed under the name Pseudomonas sp. HPB0071. The record is from RNAcentral. Lineage: Bacteria; Pseudomonadati; Pseudomonadota; Gammaproteobacteria; Pseudomonadales; Pseudomonadaceae.